This is a non-coding RNA of Taeniopygia guttata (zebra finch), 819 nucleotides long. Lineage: Eukaryota; Metazoa; Chordata; Aves; Passeriformes; Estrildidae. The record is from RefSeq and is a predicted model, not a curated record.
CUGAGAUCAGGGAACUGGGAUGGUGAGUUUUGUUUCUCACAGAAAAUGGCUUCCACAUUAUUUUAAUUCACUUUAAACAUACCAAGGUUAUUUGAAGUCUAGUCUUAUACACAAAAAGUAUUCAUCUGUACAGGAGAACUCUUCUUACAGCCUGAUUACAGUGGUGGCUGUACCCUUUUACAUUUGUAAAAAAUCCUUCUCCAAAACCCUUCUAUACAAAAGCACUCCAACAAAAUUAAGCUGGUUCAUGAAGUUUUGCAAAGUGUAUUUGUAGUGUACUGAACUUCUGUUUUCAGUCCUCAAACAGCUGAAAACUGUUCAACAAUGGUGUCAUUUCCUCUUUGAUCAAAUAUUACAGUAAGACCCUGCCUUUAGAAAAGUACAGGAAUACCAGUAACUCACAUGGAAGUGCAUUGACAUGAUCCAGAUGGUGAUGGAGGAAGAUUUAUGAGGAUUAAAUAUCAGCUAGUUCCAUAGAAAACAAAGGGCUGUUACCAUCAGCAGAUUCCUCUGCCACAUCUUCCUGAGAAUAUCCUGUACAGUGACAUCCACAUACCUUGUAAGCUCCAAAAGGAUGCUGUGCCAAAACCCUGGUGCUGCGAAGAGUGCAGAGGAUUUAUUGGCUCUCCGUGAAUUCCCAGGUGAAUUGUAGGCCAGUGACCUGUGAGGAGAUCAUCACCCUGAGCCUCUCAGUUCCUUUAGAGCAGAAACUGUCAAAAAUAUUCUUCCUCUUACAAAAUGCUACUUGUGACACCAAGGAAAUGCUGAGGGCAUUAGGUUUCCACUAACUUCCUGAUCCAUUAAAAAAUUAUCACAAUU